Molecule: transfer RNA, 73 nt
Filed under: Trichonephila clavipes
Lineage: Eukaryota; Metazoa; Arthropoda; Arachnida; Araneae; Nephilidae
Description: tRNA-Pro
Rfam family: tRNA
About the family: Transfer RNA (tRNA) molecules are approximately 80 nucleotides in length. Their secondary structure includes four short double-helical elements and three loops (D, anti-codon, and T loops).
Source: RNAcentral
AGGUCGGUGGUCUAGGGGUAUGAUUCUCGCUUAGGGUGCGAGAGGUCCCGGGUUCAAUUCCCGGUCGAGCCCA